RNAcentral lists this ribosomal RNA (443 nucleotides) under uncultured bacterium. Its description in RNAcentral is "partial 16S ribosomal RNA". It matches the Rfam family "Bacterial small subunit ribosomal RNA", at positions 338 to 795 of the family's 1533-position model. The record is from RNAcentral.
CCUACGGGGGGCAGCAGUGGGGAAUAUUGGGCAAUGGAGGAAACUCUGACCCAGCAACGCCGCGUGCAUGAUGACGGUCUUCGGAUUGUAAAGUUCUUUUUUAAGGGAAGAAGAAAGUGACGGUACCUUAGGAAUAAGCCUCGGCUAACUACGUGCCAGCAGCCGCAGUAAUACGGAGGAGGCGAGCGUUAUCCGGAAUGACUGGGCGUAAGGGGUGCGUAGGUGGUUUGGCAAGUUAGUAGCGUAACUCCAAGGCUCAACCUUGGAACUACUACUAAAACUGGUGGACUUGAGUGCAGGAAGGGCAGCCGGAAUUCCUGGUGUAGCGGUGGAAUGCGUAGAUAUUAGGAAGAACACCAGUGGCGAAGGCAGGUUGCUAGACUGUAACUGACACUGAGGCACGAAAGCGUGGGGAGCAAACAGGAUUAGAUACCCUUGUAGUC